GACGAACGCUGGCGGCGUGCUUAACACAUGCAAGUCGAACGGAAAGGCCCUGCUUGCAGGGUGCUCGAGUGGCGAACGGGUGAGUAACACGUGGGUGAUCUGCCCCUUUUUUUGGGAUAAGCCUGGGAAACUGGGUCUAUUACUGGAUAGGACCAUGCUGUAUGUGGUGUGGUGGAAGGAUUAGUUUCGGUAAGGGAUGAGCUCGCGGCCUAUCAGCUUGUUGGUGGGGUGAUGGCCUACCAAGGCGUCGACGGGUAGCCGGCCUGAGAGGGUGGACGGCCACAUUGGGACUGCGAUACGGCGCAGAAUACUACGGGAGGCAGCAGUGGGGAAUAUUGCACCAUGGGGGGAAGCCUGAUGAAGCGACGCCGCGUGGGGGAUGACGGCCUUCGGGUUGUAAAAUCCCGCCAGCCAUGACGAAGCCCCUGUGGUGACGGUAGUGGUAGAAGAAGCACCGGCUAACUACGUG
Molecule: ribosomal RNA, 469 nt
Filed under: uncultured bacterium
Lineage: Bacteria
Description: partial 16S ribosomal RNA
Rfam family: Bacterial small subunit ribosomal RNA
Source: RNAcentral